CAGAAGGGAGCUUGAAAGCUCUGUGGGGCAUGUUCUAUAGGAGCACUAUUCCUGGUCAUGGUGGUUCCACUCUCAUGGCCUAGCCAUCUCCCAAAGGCCCCACCUCCAAAUACUUUCACUUUAGGGUUUAGUUUCAACAAAGGAAUUUGGGGGUGGCAGGAAGACACAUUUGGACCAUAAUUCAUGGCUAUGUUUACAGUUUAACUUUGGGAGCUCCCUCACUCAUGAGAGUCCUGGGCUGUAGAAGAUGCAGAGCUCUUUAUAGGCUACCAAGAAAGCCCCCUGGAUCUCCUUCUUAACUUUUAAUUGCCAAUUUAUCACUCUCAGCCUCUUGUUCUCUUUCUCCAAAGCAUCAGUGAAGCUUAGCGACAGCUAGCCAAACCCACUAUUCUUUGUGUUAUGGUUGCCACACGUCUCCCAAAUGCCUGUUGUUGCACCAGCUUGUGAAUUCCUUUCUGCCAGAAUGCUAUCCCAGUUUGCCACCAGUAACAACACUGAUUACACUGCUACCUCAUGCCAGGGGCUGUGUUCUACUUACCACCAACAACGAGUCCUUCUUGCCAUUCAGGCAGCUGGCAGUUCGGCUCCAUGUUCACAUCUGCUUUCUCCACCCACUUCUCAUACCAACUGUUAUGGGUCUGGUUGCCCAAAAGCAGAAUCUGAGAUGAAGACCAGAAUGUGGAAGGCUUCUUAGUGCAGCUUUUGGGAUCAACACCCAUGGAAGGGAUAUGAGUGAAGGAGGACUGAACAGAGGGAGAAGCUAGAUUCUUCCAGACAAGGGGGUGUGGCCUUGAGCAAGAUUACCCUUUUUACCUAAGAAAUACUGGAGAGCUUCCUGCAGAGAGCCCUCAGUGGUACCUCACUUUAGAAUGUAAUAUAAUUUACCAUGUGAACUGAAUACAGAGUUCACAUGAUAAUCCCGGGGUUUUUUUUUUUAAAGAAUUUGUCUGGAAACAGAUGUUGAAUUUAAACAAAUGCAUCUUUUCUACCUAUUAAAAUAAUCAUAUAAUCUAUUGAGAUAAUUUUCCUGUAUUCCAUUCUCAUGACAAAUUACAGUGACUUCAAAAUGUGAAACCCAGCUUAGAUUUCUUUUUACACACCUGUUGAUUUCAUUUGCUAGAUUUGUGGCAUUUGACUUUUAUGUCUAUAAAAUUUUUUGAGAGAUCAGUCUACAUAUUACCAUUUUGUAAUGCUUUAUCAUAUUUGGCUACACAAGGUUAUGCUGCUUUCAUAAAAUGAAUCAGAAAGUAUUCUCUCCAUUUGCAUAAGACCAGUAAUAUUUUUUCUUUAACCAUUUGAAUGAAUUCCUUGGUUAAUCCAUCUAAAACCAGUUUCUUUGGGAGGAUUCCUUUUCUUGAUUAGAUAUAGGACUAUUCAGAUUUUUUCUUUCUUCUUACGUCAGUUUUGGUAAGCUGUGUUCUUAUGAAUUUACUUAUUGCAUCUAAACUGUCAAAAGUUUCUAUUCAGAUUCUCAUCCUUUUGGAAGCCUUCUUCUAAACUUUCUACUUGGUUUUUUCUACUCUUUGCCUUGAACUACUUUUGAAUUGGAAAUUGCUUUAAGUGGAAAAAUGAGUACACUAUUAGACUUACUUCUCUGUACUUUCUUUCCCUCCAAGAUCUUGACCUCUCCAAUCUCCUUACCUUAGUAUCUCUCUAAUACUUUCAAAACCGUAUCUUUCCAAACUUUGCUCAGUGUUUCUAGUUGUUCUUAGCAGGAGGGUUGGUCUGCUCCUCCAUGAUAAAUGGAAAUGGAAGAACUUCCCAUAUGAUUAUAAUAAAUAUCUGACUGGUAAGUGCAAAUGGCAUUCUCUAAUUAACCUAUCUCAUAUUCAAAUAUUGUUAGGAAUAUUUGUGCUAGAUAAGAACACCUGUUUAUUCUUGUAUUGCACUCUAUUUGUCUCUCAUAUAACAAUCUUCUUAAAUAGAGUGACAAUGUAUCUGUCAAUGGAGAAGCAGAUUGGGAUCUAAGUACUGAAAGCUUAUUCAUGCAAUUUGAAAAUCACUAACAUUAUCAUCACUUUAAGCACAUUAAAUGUUGUCAAUUAAUAUAGUCUGUUACUAUCACUAUUAUUGUAAGUGCCUUGUUAUGUUUCUAUAAGAUAGCUCUCAGCAAAACAAUGAAGAAAAUUGUCACAGUAAUAUAAUUGACUGAGAAUUACUUAGUUACUUACCAAAUUCAGCAAACUUUGUCUAAUGGACCAGCAAUCAUUAUGUACAACUAAAUGCUUGAUUCUUUCUUACCUAAGAAAAUAAAAAUAAAAAUAAAUAAAUUUUAAAAAAGAAAACUUAGGUUAUGAUCAUCACUACUUAUCUUAAUCUCCUUGUUAAAAUCAGAACUCAUCUAGUUUCAGACCAGACACCCAUAUAAAACAGUGUGACACAAUCACAAAAUACAUAUUCUAGCAAAGAAAGGUUUAUGUAGCUAAAGCCAAGAGGUGAAAAACUAAUAAAUUCAAAAUUCAAUGAAACUGUCGAUCUUCUCUACUUAAAUACUUGAGAGAAAGGUAAAUUUUGAAGGAUAUAAACUCUUCCCAUUUGUCCAAAUAGAAGCCAACAUCAUUAGAUGGUUUCCUGCAUUUCUGUUUUGCCUUAGGAAGCUGCAAUGUCACACAACUCCAAAGAGAGAUUAUUAGCCAAAUGGCCAAUGAUUUUAAGAACCAAGCAUUUUAAGAACAACCAUACUUUCAGGAAUUAUGAUAGAUUCUGGCUGCAGGUGGAAACGAUAGUGGUAGGAAAUUUCAGCUGCUGGUUGCUUGGUUAUACUCUUCUCUAAAAUGUCUCUCGUUCACCUGAUCUCUCUCUUUAGAACUUUGUGUUUAAAACAAAGGCACACAUUCAAAGCAGGCUAUAAUUGCAAUCUUUCAGCAAAAAAGCAUUUACCAAAACAUGCCUUUCAGAAUGUGGUACAAUUUAUCACCCCCAUGGUGCAUGACACACAAUUACAUUUGUCACUGCUUUAAUUGGAUAUUACAUGUCAGUAAUGACUCAUCAGCUCCAGAAGUUAUGAAAGAUAAAUUCCUUACUACCGAACCUCAGAAUUUGCUCCAAAAAUAAAGCUAAAAAAUCAUUUAUUUCUCAGUAAGGGUGGAAGCUACAUUUGGAAGAAACACUAAUCCCUGUUUCAGAAAAAUAACAAUGUAUUUCAUUUAUUGACAGCAAGAUGAUUGCCCACAGUGUUUCUCAUUACCCUUAGAUCACAAAUGAGUAAAUCACUGUCAGACAAACCAAGGUUAAAACCAAGUGUGUACAUUUUAACAAGGUGCAGCAAGUGAAUGAAUGAACGAAUAAUAAAUAAGUAAAUAAAUAAAUAAAUAAAUAAAUAAAUAAUAAAUAAAUACUUAAGGGCUCCAUCACUAGGAGAGAAUUACUAACCCAGAGAAUUUUUCAGAUCCUGUGAUCUGAUAAGCUCUGCAACCCAGUCAAUGUUGGAAUUAAAUUAGGCUUCAGAAAAUGAAUAUUUCAUUUUUAAGAUUCUGUUGCUUGGAGACCUGAAAAGAGAAGGCUGGUUUAGCCCAAGACAAGAGAGAUGUUAUGAGGGCCAGCAUUUUCAACUCCUGGAAACUGCCAGAGAAUGCCUAGGAAAAAUUACACAAGAAAGGUGAGACAAUGAUGAUGGUACAGAUGAAUGUGUUAUAAAUGCCACAAUGCGUGUCAUGUUCUUCCAAGCUAAAGAAGUCUCUGUCUACCUUUCACUCGCAUUACUAAGACUUAAAUUGGACGCAAUAUCAUGAUACCGUAGACCCCAACUACCUUCUGUUUUAACAGACACAAUUUUUGAAAAGCAAACCAAAUAUAGCCUCAGUGGCAAAACAAAGGGAUACUUCUCUUACUAAGGAGGUUCAACAAGAGAUAGAAAUAUGUAAACUCACAUUUACAUGUUGGAUGUACCUACACUCAUCUGGCUACAUUUUAGUCAGGACUAUACAUAAUGAAUACGCUUUCCUUCAUCACUCCUUACAUGAAGCUGGAGCACCUAUAGGAGAUCUUCCACUUUGGGGGGACAGUAGAUGCUAAUUAUUUCCCAGUUUCUGUAAUAACAGAAUCACCUGAGCUUCGCAUAGGCACAUGAUCACUCAUCUAAAGAUUACUUUUCCCAGCCUUCUUGGUAGGGAGGUGUGGCCAUGUGAACGAAUAUGUUUUGAACAAUGAGAUUCAGGCAGAAACUGUGUGUAACCUACAGAUUAUGAUUUUUUGUAAAGAGGCUCUUACCUUCUACUUCCUGUUUUCCCUUCAGGUGGGCUAUUGUGAAAGGUAAUGGAGUGAGCCAGAUUUAACCAUGCGGAGCUCUAAUUAGGGCAUGACAGAGCAGCAAGAUAGAAGUAACCCAGAUCCUUGGAUGACCUUAUGGAACAAAGUACCUUAACAAACCUGUACCUCCUGCCCAAUUUUGGACUGUAGCAGAAGAGAGAAAUUAAUGUCUAUCAUCAAUCUGCAUGUGGGGGCCUCUUUUUUACUGCAAUGUAGCCUUUCCUUAAUGAACACAUUAGAUUUGGGUAGCCAUGGUCUCAAGAGACAAUUUUGCCUCCUAUCAUUUGUUCAAUUUUAUCACUAUUAUAACCUUUUCUUGAUUCUCAUCUUCCUUCCUCAGUUCUUUAUGUUACAUACAAAUUGGGCUGACUAUGGCCCUCCAAGGCCUUGUUUGAGCCACCUCUUUCUUUUUGGUUACUGUUAGCCUCUGCCUAAUCUCCAUUCAGAAUUUGAGCAAGCGUUCCAAACGUGAUAUGUGUUUCCUUCCGUAGAUGACUUUGCCUCCUUGACCGCAGUGACUGCCCAGGAAAUAGGCAUGUGACAGGAGCUGGGAAAGUCAGAGUUCUUUCCUGGAAUCUUCCUGAAGAGUAAGCACUUUUUCUCUUGUGAAACAGGAAUUUCUUGGCUUGUGAAGCUCUUUUGCAAUUAUCACGAAUGAGGUCAAUGUACAGAAAGGAAGAAGAUAGAGCCCUUCGUUGUUUCCAGUUACCCUAAGCCAAACACCUAAACUUCAGAGGCCGUAUGAACACCUCCCCCCCCCCCCCCGCCGCCGCCCCCAAAAAAGUUACUUUGGCCCUGGCUGGUUUGAACUGAGUUCUUCAGAUGCAUCAAAAGUCAAACAGUAAAAGAUUAAGAAACCCCAGUGCCAUAUGGUUAUAGAUCCACAUCUUAUAUGUCAUCAAACUUCACUCUUCAAAUCAUGAUUUUAUUCUUUGAGGCUACGCAUACGUUACUGGAAUCCAUAAAUGUUGUCCUAAUUUUGUGACUGCCAUUCUACACCAAAGGGUCAGUUCAAAGCAGCAGCAAAAUCACACAAGAAAAGUGUUUUUUUCUGUGAUGAUUUCUGCUCAGCACGCAACAUGGAGGUUAACCACCUGGAAAAAAGAAAAAUAAACUGUAAUGCUAAGCCUGAAAAGCGUAUAUAUAACACUGUAAGAAUGACUGCUCUUUUCUGUACAUGUGAAUAAUGGAAAAUGAAAAGGUUGAUAUGCUAUCUGUUUAUAAAGUGAGGGCCAUCUUGCAGGCCAGGUUUGAUUAAAGAAUCAAUCUCAAUGGUCUAACUACAUCAUUUUAAAAAGAAAUCGAAGGGCGAGAGGCAGUCACUUCUAACUUUAGAGUGGGGCACUCUGGGAAUCCGCAGAGAUGAAUGGGAUGGCUACAUUAAUAGCGGGCUGUUUCCCUAUUGCCAAGACACCAAUCUGAUUGUUCAAGAUAAGGAACUCUCUUUGAAUGACUGAUGAAGAGCAAUUCUUCGUGACAGACGGAGACUUAAUUUUAACCGAAUAAAACUACUUGCUGAAGAGUGCAGGAGCCAUUUCUGAAGUGUGAGACCGCAUGGGCAAUACACAUUUAAGGAAGAAUUUCUUUCAUGUUCUUUGGCACCAAAACGACUCCCAAGAAGCCAAGUGGAGAAUAAUCCCUAUGACAAAUAGGGACUGACAAGGGCCACCACAUCAAAAUUCUCGUCUCUUCGACUGCCACUCAUUAUUGAUUGACAGAGUAGAGAGUCCCUUUUGGUAGAGCCUCAAAGAUAAACUUAUUUUCAGUCUAAUAGCCAGUAGGAUUGUGUUCUAGCCUUUCUCACGAUUGCUGGGCUCAUACUAAUAUUCCGUGUCCAGCAAGGACUAAGAGAAGCCUGUAAGGAAGAAGAGUAGCAGUAGGUGAGCUGUGUUUUUCAUUUUUAUUAUAAUUCUUACUAUGUAUUAAUUAUAUGUUCUUAAUUAUGUAUAUAUUCUUAACUGUGUAUAUUCUUAAUUACAUGUACAUUCUUCAUUGUUCCCAACGUACCUAUUUUUCUUUGGAUUGUGGCUGGGCCAAUAAAUAAGUUGCUUUCUUCUCCAA
Prionailurus viverrinus (fishing cat) is the source of this 6309-nucleotide long non-coding RNA. RefSeq lists it as uncharacterized. Lineage: Eukaryota; Metazoa; Chordata; Mammalia; Carnivora; Felidae. The transcript has 2 exons. The record is from RefSeq and is a predicted model, not a curated record.